Non-coding RNA from Dipodomys ordii (Ord's kangaroo rat), 65 nucleotides. The record is from Rfam. Lineage: Eukaryota; Metazoa; Chordata; Mammalia; Rodentia; Heteromyidae.
GGUGGCUCAGUGGUAGAGUGCUUGCCUCGCAUGCAUGAGGCCUUGGGUUCGAUUCCUCAGCACCA